UACAGCUGAAACACCCCCACACUUAAAACAAUGAAUAAAUAAUUUGUAAUGCAAUGACAAAUACCCAUACAUGGGUUACAUAGCCAGUCAAUAAAUUAAGAAAAAUGUUUAUUCAUAUUUCACAUCAUGCCGUAGAUUAAUAUUUGGUUGCCUCUAAAUACUUUAAUAUUACUAAGCCAAAAAGUAUCACAACCAUGACAUCUUUGAGUUAAAUACUCCGAGCUUCAAUCUUUAUGAAUUCCAAAAUAAUGAAAUAAAUGUGCUGCAUUUAAGACAAAACACACGUCACUUUAAAUUGUGGCUGAUAUCCAAAAUAGCUGAUUGUAACACAAGUUCCAUCAAGUUCCACCUUCCUACAGUUUCCCUGAUGCCUAUCUGUGUCUGAUGCACAGAACAGCAGUGUGAGAAAGUUCAUAUUUUAUAUAAAACAUUGAUCCCUGUCAUUAACCUUCAUCAAAAGGAGGAACCUGCCACGCCUCUGUCUUUCUUUGCCUCACAGAUUUUCUGCAGUGAAAACGCUUUUUGCACCCUAAUGCUGGGAUUAGGAGAGAGCACUGAUCAUUUACCUAUUGAUCUUAAACAGAUGAAAAAUAAGCAAGGGUUGUCUGUGGUUAUGCUUGAACAGCCUUCUUAGUUUCUGUGAGGUUGUUAAAUCUUUAAAAUAAUUUUCUCCUUUAGUGUAGUCAAAGAAAAACAGCACCAGUCACUGAUAAUUUGAGUAGUCUUGUAUAGAGUAAGACAUCAACAUAGCUCUGCAGAUUUAUAAAUCCUUACAAAUUUAUGACCUUCACAGUUUGCAAACCACAAACCCACAAACACGCACAUAAGAAAGGUCAUCUUAUAGAUCAAGAAAAGCAGUCAGUGAAAUUCUUUUUCUUUGACUUUCCAUCAUGGAGCAAGAUUUGAAUACUUAUGAGUGUCCGUGUAUGUCUGAAAGUUACUGGAUUAUCGGAAGAAACCUCCCUUUGAGUUUGUGUAUCUCUGUGUGCAUGCAUGGCCUGCUAGCUGCUGUCUUGUCAGAAAAUACUUUUAAUGGUGUGUUUGUGUGCGUCUUCGCCUCCUUGUUCUGUCUAAUCCGACGUAGUUUUCUCUUGACGGGCUGUCAGCCUUGACACCAAACGAGAAGAUGUGUGGACCUCUCCGUCAGCCUCUCUGUGCUCUUCUGCUGCUGCAUCUCUGAAGCAGUUUCAAGGUUUUCAAAGCCCACAGAUAGUUCUUUAAAAAGAUUUGUUGGAGGGGUAAAAAGUUGGAAAGGAACCAGAGAUGGAGCUUCAGUUCAUCGCCUUCAUGUGAGGAAGAUUUUGCCUGAUUGGGCACGAAGCGCUGACAAGAGAGGGACUUCAAGGCGGGCAGGCGGGCAAAAGACAAGGCGUCACUCAUGAUAACUGGCUCCAUCUCACACAAACUAGAUCAGCCACUAAUAAUGAGGGCACUGUGUAAUAAUAAUGAUAAUAAUAAUUCGAGCUGUUUACAAUAUAUCUAGGUUGCCCUUAAAGCAAGAUUUUGCAAAGUCAGACUCUUUGGAGGAUAUACAGCCUCUCACUUUCCAUCCUCAUUAUCCGUGCAUUGAUCCGAAUAGGUGGGGAUGUCCUAAUGAAGAGGUACUACGCUGAUCCUCCUCUGGGGAGGAGAGGGGAUUUGGGUUGGAAACUGGUGCGGACAAACACAGAGGUGGAAAUCACUAAAACAAUUAUGGCGAGUGCUCCAGAAGAACCUGCACAAUUAUAGUGCAUGAUACUGUUAGGGUCACUGGUUUCAGAUUUUGACUUUUAAUCAAUGUAAUCUGUACUUGCAGUUUUGUGGUUGCAUGUGUGGAAUCCAUACAGAACACUUGCAAUCAUUCAUAGUAGGUAAUAAGCAUCAAAUAAAAUAAAAUAAAUAAAUAAAUAAACAAAACUCCUAAAGCAAAACUGUAACAGUGUAGCAAAAAAAAGAGCCUCAUUUAAAAGACUGGGAUUGGGAGUGGUUAUGCAUGCAAGCUGAUGCAAAUCACUCCCAUCGUAACAUUACCACAGGAGCUGUGUUUUGAUAAAAGCUACUGAAACAGUCCAGAGGUUUUUAGCUUCUGUACUCUAUGAAGGCUCGAGUGAGCACAAAGACGACUUAAGUUAGUGUAUCUGAGCAAGGAAAACAUAUUUUAUGGUAUGAGAUCUUAGGGUGAAUCAUAUUUAAAAAGCAAGGCAAAAGCCAUUAUGUUGAAUAAAGACUUUUAAAGGGGACUGUACAGAACAGAAUCCUCAUUUGCAGCACAGCACUGAUUGUAACCUUCAGGCAUCAGUCUACUGAGAAGAGGUUGUUGUUGAUUUAGGAGGAAAGGAGAUGGCAAUAACCUCUGUUAGAUUCACAAAUCCCUACCAGAGAGCAGUAUUAAAAAACAAAAAUGUGGCCAAACUGGACUGUGGAGAAGACAAAACAGAUGAUGGAUAAUUGCUCAGGUUGGACGGAGAAGCAGUUCACCAGCACCAGCAUCCUCCCUCAGCAUCCUAGCUUGUUUGUAACAGAAUCCAUUUUUCACUAAAGCUCUUUGUCCCUUUAGAGCCAAACUUUUAGCUGAAAUGGCCCAGCAAUUGACAUUGAAAAACAUGGAUGAGUAAUGAUAAUUGGAAGUGUGCUGCAGAAGAAAAUCUCUGGAUUAGAAACUAAUCUAAUUUCCCCUUUUCAGACUUUGAGUAUGAGACAGAUCAAGACAGCGUGACAAGGUUAAAAAGAGGUAAAAAUAGUACAACUCCAUUGUGGAGGGAGCAUUAAGAUUUAGGUAUGUCCAAGGGAAGGUACUGUGGGCUCGUCUUAAAUGAUCUUGAGAUGUGAACAUUGAUAGAAUUAUGUACAGUAGGGCUUUAGGGCGCAUUCACACCACCCUCGUUUAGUCUGGUUAAACCGAUCCCUGGAGCGUUUACCCCCUUGGUGCGGUUUGUUUGGGUCCGUGUGAACGCUGACCUCGAACUCUGGUGCCAACCAAAUAAACGAACUCUGGUCCGCCUGAAGAGGUGGUCUCGGACCACUAUUGAGUGAACUCUGGAGCGGUUCAUUUCGGGUGUGAACGUCAUCCACACCAAUCACAGGAAAUGGUUGUAGGCUCUCAUUAAUGCCUGUCGCCGUCUCCUCUUUAUCCGUCUGUUGUUUGCAGCACAUCUACUCUGGAAUGUAUUAAUUAAUGCCGCAGUUCACACGCUGGCUAACGAGCCGUUUGUGUGCGGGAUUGACUAGUGUCAUUUGAUACACGCACCAGAUGAGUAGCAAAAGCAAAAUCAGCCUACAAUGCUCCAUGACAGGCGAAGACAGCAGAGCGGGGUUUGUAUUCCCACAUAAACUAAUGACCAAUAACUGAACGAUAUUCGCGGUCACGUGACUUCCGGUUCCGUUUUCUGGAGCGAUUGAGUUUGUCCUUUGUGAGCGCAAACCAGACCAGUUAAACAAUUAAAACAAAUGUAUCGUCUUGCCUUGGAUUCAAAUCAGGAAACAGACCUUUCAGUGUGAACACGACCUUAGAUUUGUAAUAUUAAACCAGGGAGAUGCAAUAUGGAAGUGAAUCAGAGGAAAACCUCAACUAACCUGGCAUAUUGAAGCUGAAUUACAAGGUUCAGGGAUAAGGAGUUGGGUGCUGAUUGCAUGCUGUUUAAAUGAGAGUAAGGACUUUAGUAUUGUGUUGUUUAUGAACAUUUCAUUCAAAAAAAUGGAACUGCUGAGUGAAUGACGUGAAUGGAAUCACUUUGAGACCUGAUUCAUUCCUUUCUCAGUUCAGUAGAGCUCAGCCGUGUGCCUGGCGUGCCAUUUGGGAGUGGAACUGCUGCCCUUGCUUGACUCUUUGGCGAACAACGCACAGCCAGCCAGCCAGCCAGCAGGCAGGCACAGUCUCGUGAUUUGCUCACAGCGGAUGAACGAUAUGUAUCAGUCAGUCAGUGAACGACAUCUAUCAGUCAGACUGUGAACAAAACAAACGACUUCCAAACGACGUGAGGCAGGCGGAGGAGGGAGGGGUAAAGCGUGGUUCACCAACUGCCGGGUUGAGGCUAAGAUAAAACAGUGCAUUAUAGUGCCUUUACAUUAAUACACAUGUAUAAACUUUCCUGCAAGAAGGAUUUAAUUUAAGCCAAUUUAAAGCAAUAUGCUAUUUAAUACCUUUAAAAGUAGCGGAAUCCCUUAGCUGCAAUGUUUACUUAUUUUGAAUCUCUCCACUUUUCUGCGGUAUAAAACCACGACGACUUACACUCGUUUAGCGGGCGUGCUGCUUGCAGCUGUGAUGUUUCUUCCUUCAGGAUUUGGUGAAUGAACGACAUGUGUCACCCAGUGAACACUGCUGUGACUUCAGCAGCAGGGGAGGGGAGAGGAGGGGCUCGUUCAAUGAGUGAAGUCAUGGCUGUGUCACUCACUCGUGUACUACACCGGCAGGACGGGGCUCCAGAGCACUGACUGAUUCAGUGAAAGAAUCUUUCGAACGAAUCAUUUUAAUGAACGAAUUCUCAAGAUUCAGUACAGUCAAAAGAACUGUUCUUCCCAUCACUGAAGGACACGUUGACCCCUGUUUUUAUAAAUAGUGAUCACUCCAGUGGAAAAUGGACAUGUUUGUACCUUUUAAUCGAAGAGUUAUCUUACAACAUUGGUGAUAAUGUUGGACUAUCUAAACAAGGUGAAGUGGAGUGCAGUGCUGGCAGAACUUCACUUAAAGUACUCACUGGGUCUGAGUAAAAGAGAAGUAGUUUUGAUCUAUGAAAGCUCAGGCAACACUUAGAGUCGUGGCCUUCAGGGUCACUCAUAAAAGCCAUAAGCUCUAAGAAUUUAAAAGUGCUACUGGACCUUUUAAUACCUGAAGGCUCCACAUGCAUGUCAGAGGAUCGCUUUGAAGGAGUAAAAGUAGAAACGGGUCAGAGGGUUUGACUUUGUUGGCUACUGAAGCCCAUAUACCAUGAAAGUAUACUGCUUUCUUGUUUCCUUUAGCUUCUGAACAAAAGGUAGCUCUUAGUUUGUGGUUGUGCCAUUGCAGGGGGUUUGCUUUCUUGGUGGGGAGAGCUGCUGGAUUGACCUGAUAAACCCUGGAUUCCUCCCUGUAGAAAUAUACUCGAUAUGUGGGAACUGGCACAGGCCCACGACUUGGCAUUUUGCAUCUGGUCUGAGAACACAGAGGAAUCCCCAAGGAUGAGUUUGAGCCAAGUACUGAGGAGCAGGAUGUUUGGCUGCCUUGCAUGACCUGCUGUUACCUAAAUCUACAAAGUGGGUAGAUAUUUGAUGCUUAAGUGGUGGCUUUGGGUUGUGGCUGAAAUGUUCCAAAUUUUAGUCCAGAUCGGUAUACAAGAGGUUUUUCUAAAGUGUUCUAGAGUAGUAUAAAGUAGUGUCCUUAAUGUUUUCAUAUCAUGACUUGGAGCAAGCCAAA
This 5368-nucleotide long non-coding RNA is filed under the name Xyrichtys novacula (pearly razorfish). Lineage: Eukaryota; Metazoa; Chordata; Actinopteri; Labriformes; Labridae. The record is from RNAcentral.